UGAGUAUUUUCUAUGUUUUGUGGUUUGGG
RNAcentral lists this non-coding RNA (29 nucleotides) under Mus musculus (house mouse). Lineage: Eukaryota; Metazoa; Chordata; Mammalia; Rodentia; Muridae. The record is from RNAcentral.